Long non-coding RNA from Mirounga angustirostris (Northern elephant seal), 4693 nucleotides. RefSeq lists it as uncharacterized. The transcript is spliced from 4 exons. The record is from RefSeq and is a predicted model, not a curated record. NCBI's taxonomy places the organism in Eukaryota, Metazoa, Chordata, Mammalia, Carnivora, Phocidae.
UCGCCGGGAUCUCCGCGCCGCUACCUCCUCUUCCGUCGCCCUCCUCCCACCCCUCCACCUCCUUCCCCCGCCCCCUUUGCGGCGAAGAGGAGAGGGCCCCCCGGCCGCCGCCCUCUCUCCCCGCCCCUGGGGCUGCACGUCAGUGGGCCGGCGGCCCAGGCCUCGGCAGAGCCCGCCGCGGACGGCGCCCAGCCCGGCGGGCGAACGGGCGCCGGAGUCCUGCCUCGGCGCACGCCGACUGCUGCUGCGCCCGCGGCAGUUGCCACCACCGCGGAGGCUUCAGGAGCUCUCGCUCUCUCUCUCCCUCCAAUCUCUCUCUUCUCUUUUUCCUUUUUUUUUUUUAAUUUUUUUUUUUUUUUUUAAGUUCUGAGCUCGCAGCACUUGGGCUGAGCCGGCGAGAUCUCGCGAGAUGCUGCAGGGCUACAGGGCCGCUUCACCUCAGGCGUGUGGUACCCGAGGCGGUGCUAAAGCUGCCGGUCGCCCCCCGCUCCGGUGGGUGCUGCCGGGGAUUUUCCCGUCGGGCCCGCAGGUGCUUCCGGAGUUGCCGGCGAGGUGCGCCCCCGGGCGAGGUCGGCUCGCGGCUCCGGCCGGCCGCGACUGCCCGCCCUUACUCGAGGCCUGAGCCUAGGGGGAGGCAGGAUUUCCUCUGAGCCGCCUUUGAAGCGGUCGACUCCCCGCCUGGCCGCGUUAGAUUUGCAUAACCAGAAACACUCCCGUGGAGAUGCAGUGGGUGUGUCCACACUUCGAUGACACCUGUAUUUUAAAAGCUGUGAUGUUUGAAGGUCAUGAUAACCUGUGAUUCCAAUUAAAGAUUUUUAAAAAGAGAAGAGUUCAGCCCUUCAAGUAUUGGUUUGCACUCCUUAAGCCAGAGACCGAGAAACCUUGGACUUGGGGGAGGAUUUGCCUUGGACCUCCAGGGGACACCGGCUUGGAUUUUCAUAGGGAAUUCGCAACGUGAACGCUCUACAGCGCCCUGUGCACCAGGAUGUGAGGUGACUUAGCAAGCAGCUGGUUAGCACCAAACAAGUAUCUUGCCGGAGCUUCUGAAAAGGACCUUUGUGUGCGCAGCGCAAAAGCAUCAGGAAGCGUCUACGUGGAAACAGAGGUUCAGUGCGCGGUGAAAGAUACCGGGAAGUUGGAGGACAGCAAAGAGGAAAGGAAAAGGAAAGCCUUAUUGUCAAGAUAAAAUUAAGACAAGGGCUUGCAGCUGUGAAUUGUGCAAGACUGUUGAAUCUCAGAUCUGUACCUCUGAAACAAAUAAUGCAAUAUAUGUUAAGAAAAAAAGAAGAAGAAGAAGAAGAAGGUAGCGGGAGGGGAAGAAUGAAGCGGGGGAAAUCGGAGGGGUAGACGAACCAUGAGAGACGAUGGACUCUGAAAAACAAACUGAGGGUUCUAGAGGGGAGGGGGUGGGAGGAUGGGUUAGCCUGGUGGUGGGUAUUAAAGAGGGCACGUAUUGAAUGGAGCACUGGGUGUUGUGCACAGACGAUGAAUCAUGGAACACUUCAUCUAGAACUAGUGUUGUAAUGUAUGGGGAUUAACAUAAGAAUAAAAAAAAAUUAAAAAAUAAAAUAAAAAAGACAAGGGCUUGCAAAUGGCCCAUUUCCCUCAGGUUUUGUGUUCAAGGUUUUCCUUUUUUUUUUUUUCCUUACGUAUUCCUUCCUCUCUCUUUAAGAAACAUGAAAACAGUCACAUUAGUAUGUAUUCCCAAAGAGCCUCUUCAGUCUUGAGGUCCCUGGCAGGGUUUAUGUUUGAAAGGCAAGCCGUAGGCAGCACUCAUAGCUGAAGCCCUGCAUGCUCUCUGAGGGACGGUGAGGCGGGAGCAUUGCUGAUUUGUACCCUUGAUCCGAUACCGGGUACUUUACUGGUGUAAUCCCCACCCACCAAUGAAUUAAUUGGUGUACUUUGUCCUUUUUGCUAGGUUCUUUCAAUCCCUCCGCUUGUUUACCCGAACGUAUUUCCCCUCAGCCUGGAUAAGUUGGAUAGAAGUUGCCGAUUGCCCUGGGGAAACGAAGAUGUUUCAGAAGCUGAAUAACAAGUAGCAUAUUCUUAUUUCUUACGUUGGAAAACUGCUGAUCUUGAUGGCAAAUGGAGAAAUUCACAAUCACCCAUGUAGAACCAACCCGUUUCUCUUGAGACCGGGUCCGGGUGAAUGCAGACAUGAAGGAACCCCUUUUAAGCGCGCAGUUUGGAAAAUAGACACUGAGAACCAGGAUUUGGACCAGGAAACAGCAAAUCUCAGGGCAAUGUCCCCUCCCCCCCGCAACCAUGCCAUUUUGAUGUGAGAACUGGCAGGUAUCCAUGAGGACUGGAGGCACAGUGGCUCUAGGCAGGAGUGGGGGUGGAGAGAGCUAGCUCUAUGUGCGGUUGAAGUUGUGGGCCAGGGCACUCAAAUUCUCCCAAGUCUCUAGAGCAGGUCACUGAUGUAAGUGGAGGGGAGCCUCUGGCCUCUGUAGGUACUGUGGCUGGAAUGAGGGGUUCUAUCACUACCACAUGUUAGCAGAUAGAUACCAGGAUGCUACGUGAAAGCCAGGUCAACAUCUGCAGCCCCUCCAAGCACCAUUGAAAUAAGAUUGGGGGACGCCUGGGUGGCUCGGUUGGUUAAGCAACUGCCUUCGGCUCAGGUCAUGAUCCUGGAGUCCCGGGAUCGAGUCCCGCAUCGGGCUCCCUGCUCGGCAGGGAGUCUGCUUCUCCCUCUGACCCUCCCCCCUCUCAUGCUCUCUCUCUCUCAUUCUCUCUCUCAGAUAAAUAAAUAAAAAUAUUUAUUUAAAAAAAAAAAAGAAGAUAGGAUGAGCCACCCAUGGAGUGGGCAGCCAGCCUGGAUGGGGCCUGACACCGAAGCAGAAGCCUAUUGCCCGCUGCCACGGGGGGGUGCCCUCUGCUCCCGUCCUCUCAGAACUUAUUAGCAUCUCUGCCAGGGGGAGGAUAAAGAGGAAACCAUCCAGAACAGACUGAGGUUGUUUCCUAUUAGACUUUUUAUUUGAGAUAAUUGAAGAUUCACAUGCUGUUGGAAGAAAUAAUACAGAGAGAUCUUGAAUAUCCUGUAUGCAACCUCUCUAAUGGUAACAGCUUGCAAAAUCAGUAUAAUGUCACAAGCAGGACAUUGACCUUGUUACCGCCAAGGUGCAGAACAUUUGCAUCACCAUAAGGAUCUUCAUGUUGCCCUUUUAUAACCAUACCUACUUUCCUCCCCAAUCCUUAACAUCUGGCCACCACUGAUCUGUUCUUUACUUCUAUAAUUUUGCUAUUUUGAGGAAGUCUGUAUUUCUCUGUCACCUUUGAAGAAUAAUGUUGCUGAUAUAAAAUGCUAGGUUGGUGACUUUUUUCUUUCAAUAGUUUAAAUAUUUCACUCCACUCUCAUCUUGCUUGUGUGGUUUCUGAUGAGGAGCCCAGUGUAAUUCUUAUUCUUGUUCCUCUCUCAGUAAGGUGGUUUUUUUUUCCAUCUAGGUUCAUUCAAGAUUUUCUUUGUCUGCUUUUUGCUGUUUGAAUAUGAUAUGCAUAUGCAUGGGUGUGUGUGUGUGUGUGUGUGUGUGUGUUACAUUUAUCUUGCUUGGCAUACUCUGACCUUCCCGGAUUUGUGAUACAGUGUCUUUCAUUAAUUUUGGAAAGUUCUUGGCCAUUGUUACCUCAAGUAUUUACAAGUUAUUGAGCUAUUCCAGUUCCUUUCCAUUUAUGUAUUUUAGAACAAUCUUCUCUAUGUAUCCAAAAAGUCCUCCUGAGAUUUGAUCAAAAUUGCAGUAAACCUAUAUAUCAUUUUGGGGAGAUUUGAUGUCUUUACUAUGUUGAGUCUUCCAAUCCAUAAACACAAUGUGUCUCUCCAUUUAUUUGUCUUCUUUAAUUCCUUUAACUAGUAUUUAGUUUUCAGUGCACAAGUCCUAUACAUGUUUUCUUAGAUUUACAUGUAGAAAUUUUAAAAAAUUUUAAGUGAUUUUUUGUAUUUUUAUCUUGUAUCCUGAUACCUCGCUGAACUCACGUAUUAGUCCUAGGACUUCUCCAUACAUCUGCACUAGUGACAGUUUUCUUUCUUUCUUUCCAGUCUACAUGCCUUCUGUUUCCCUUCCUUGCCUUAUUGAACCAGCUAUAACUUCCAGCACUAUGGUGAAUAACAGUGGUGAGACCAGACAUCCUUGCCUUGUUCCCAUUCUUAGGGGAAAAAUGCUUAAUCUCUCAUCAUUAAGUAUAAUAUUAUACUUACGUUUUUUUGUAGAUGCUCUUAAUCAAGAGAAUAAGUUCUUCAUAAGAGCACAAGUUGAAAAAUUUUCCCCUCUAUCACUAUAUCUCUGAGAGUCUUUAAUCAUAAAUGCAUAUUAAAUGUUGCCAAAUGUUUUUUUCUACGUCAAUUAAUAUGGUCAUGUGGUUUUUCUUCUUUAGCUUUUUAAUGUGGUAGAUUAUACUGAUUGAGUUUUGAUUAUUGUACCAGUCUUGAAUCCAUGGAAUAAAUCUCACUAGGUCACGACAUGUCAUUAUUCUUAUUGCCAAAUGCUCUAUUGCUAAUAUUUUGUAAGAAUUUUUGAGUCAUUGGGCGCCUGGGUGGCUCAGUUGGUUAAGCAACUGCCUUCGGCUCAGGUCAUGAUCCUGGAGUCCUGGGAUCGAGUCCCACAUCGGGCUCCCUGCUCGGCGGGGAGUCUGCUUCUCCCUCUGAGCCUCCGCUCUCUCUAUCUCAUUCUCUCUCUCAAAUAAAUAAAUAAAAUCUUUA